UGGGGAAUAUUGCACAAUGGGCGCAAGCCUGAUGCAGCCAUGCCGCGUGUGUGAAGAAGGCCUUCGGGUUGUAAAGCACUUUCAGCGAGGAGGAAGGUGGUGAACUUAAUACGUUCAUCAAUUGACGUUACUCGCAGAAGAAGCACCGGCUAACUCCGUGCCAGCAGCCGCGGUAAUACGGAGGGUGCAAGCGUUAAUCGGAAUUACUGGGCGUAAAGCGCACGCAGGCGGUUUGUUAAGUCAGAUGUGAAAUCCCCGGGCUCAACCUGGGAACUGCAUUUGAAACUGGCAAGCUAGAGUCUCGUAGAGGGGGGUAGAAUUCCAGGUGUAGCGGUGAAAUGCGUAGAGAUCUGGAGGAAUACCGGUGGCGAAGGCGGCCCCCUGGACGAAGACUGACGCUCAGGUGCGAAAGCGUGGGGCAGCAAACAGGAUUAGAUACCCUGGUAGUCCAGCGCUGUAAAACGAUGUCGAUUUGGAGGUUGUGCCCUUGAGGCGUGGCUUCCGGAGCUAACGCGUUAAAUCGACCGCCUGGGGAGUACGGCCGCAAGGUUAAAACUUAAAUGAAUUGACGNGGUCAUAGCUGUUUCCUG
RNAcentral lists this ribosomal RNA (590 nucleotides) under uncultured bacterium. RNAcentral's name for it is "partial 16S ribosomal RNA". It matches the Rfam family "Bacterial small subunit ribosomal RNA", at positions 355 to 1376 of the family's 1533-position model. The record is from RNAcentral.